RNAcentral lists this ribosomal RNA (439 nucleotides) under uncultured bacterium. Its description in RNAcentral is "bacterial SSU rRNA". It matches the Rfam family "Bacterial small subunit ribosomal RNA", at positions 959 to 1397 of the family's 1533-position model. The record is from RNAcentral.
ACGCGCGGAACCUUACCAGGUCUUGACAUCCUCUGACACUCCUAGAGAUAGGACGUUCCCCUUCGGGGGACAGAGUGACAGGUGGUGCAUGGUUGUCGUCAGCUCGUGUCGUGAGAUGUUGGGUUAAGUCCCGCAACGAGCGCAACCCUUGAUCUUAGUUGCCAGCAUUUAGUUGGGCACUCUAAGGUGACUGCCGGUGACAAACCGGAGGAAGGUGGGGAUGACGUCAAAUCAUCAUGCCCCUUAUGACCUGGGCUACACACGUGCUACAAUGGAUGGUACAAAGGGCAGCAAAACCGCGAGGUCGAGCCAAUCCCAUAAAACCAUUCUCAGUUCGGAUUGUAGGCUGCAACUCGCCUACAUGAAGCUGGAAUCGCUAGUAAUCGCGGAUCAGCAUGCCGCGGUGAAUACGUUCCCGGGCCUUGCACACACCGCCCGU